AACGAACGCUGGCGGCAUGCCUAACACAUGCAAGUCGAACGACACCUUCGGGUCUAGUAGCUCAUGGCUGCUUACCGCGUGGGGACCUUCCCUUAGGUUCGUAAUAACUCCCCGAAAGGGGUGCUAAUACCGGAUAAUUUCUUCCGCCCAAAGAUUUCUCGCCAUUGGAUGGGCCCUCGUUGCAUUACCUAGUUGGUAGGGUAAAAGCCUACCAAGGCGACGAUCCAUAGAUGGUCAGAGAGGCUGAUCAGCCACACUCGGACUGGGACCCGGCCCAGAAUUCUACGGGAGGGAGGAGUGGGGAAUAUUGGAAAAUGGGCGGAAGGCAGAUGGAGCAAUGCCGGGUGAGUGAUGAAGGCCUUAAAGUUGUAAAGCGCUUUUACCCGGGAUGAUAAUGACAGUACCGGGAGAAUAAGCUCCGGCUAACUCCGUG
RNAcentral lists this ribosomal RNA (433 nucleotides) under uncultured bacterium. Its description in RNAcentral is "partial 16S ribosomal RNA". It matches the Rfam family "Bacterial small subunit ribosomal RNA", at positions 29 to 507 of the family's 1533-position model. The record is from RNAcentral.